Molecule: long non-coding RNA, 834 nt
Filed under: Bos taurus (domestic cattle)
Lineage: Eukaryota; Metazoa; Chordata; Mammalia; Artiodactyla; Bovidae
Description: long non-coding RNA NONBTAT020403
Source: RNAcentral
AAUGAUUAUAGUCAUUUUAUUUAGAUACAAUCACGUGGUGCAAUUUAUUCCUUGGAAUAAUUUAAUUUUGAAGUACUUAACAUUCACAGUAAUCAGCUUUAAGUGUAAAUAUUUAGUGUCAAGUGAUGUCCAGGCAAGUUAGAACUACACGUUCUAUUGUGUUUUCAGUUUUUCUUUUCACCAAGUUCUGCCUAGGAAAAAAAAGAAGAGAAAGCCACCUACUUUCUACAUGUCUUUUGGGCACUUUGUUUUUGCCCUGCUUUAGGUUUAUUAUGCUGAUAAUUAUAUUUUCAAUAAAAAAGAGCCAUCUGACAUUGUUGAAAAAACAUAGGCUUCAUAGCUGAGUUUAAUCCGAUUUCCACUAUGAGUUUAUUGGGAUUUUGGGGCAAACUUUUUAGUCUCCAUUUUCUGAUCUGUCGAUGUUACACCACCUGCUUUGCAGAAUUUUAUGGUUUACAUUUAGUGCAUUCUGGGUGCUGAUAUUAUUUGUCGUCUUUACUUUGUCUACAGCUCAUGUCUAACAGAAUUUGUGAGAACUCAGUAAAUGCUUUUUCAAAGUUAAUUUUAUUUAUCAGAUUGUUACCAGGGAAUUGUAAGAUGAUAACUAUUUAUUCAAUCUCCCUGGAAAAAAUAAGACAUUCAAUUAGAAAAUAAGAGUAAUAUUUAAAUUAGUGUAUAUUUGUUUUAUUACUUGUGCCUGUUAGAGAUACCUGUUCUUGUUUAUAAAUAACUUUGUGAAGUGGAAUUUAGUAAAUCUGGAACCCAUGUUUCUAUGUCUUAGUUGCUGAAGAAACCAGGUAGAUUUGAUCACAAAGUAGGGUUUUAUGUGAAUCU